CAGCUGUUCCCAAAACUUACUGUGUGUUUGGUUUCGACUUCUAUAUCUACAGAUUUCUAGAAUUCAUUUGCAAAAUGACCUGUCCGGAUCUUCUGUCAUCACUACAAUAGAAGACAAGGGGAUGAGCUGAUAAGAGUCUACAUUUGCUACUUACUUCAAUAUUUACACAACGACCGAAGCUGAUUGAGCAGGAAUAAUGAGACUUUGACAUUCUGCACUGCACAAGGUAAAGGAAAACUUGUUUCCACUGGGUGGAGUUUGU
Molecule: long non-coding RNA, 262 nt
Filed under: Callithrix jacchus (white-tufted-ear marmoset)
Lineage: Eukaryota; Metazoa; Chordata; Mammalia; Primates; Cebidae
Description: lncRNA (ENSCJAG00000078016.1)
Source: RNAcentral